Molecule: ribosomal RNA, 468 nt
Filed under: uncultured bacterium
Lineage: Bacteria
Description: partial 16S ribosomal RNA
Rfam family: Bacterial small subunit ribosomal RNA
Source: RNAcentral
GACGAACGCUGGCGGCGUGCUUAACACAUGCAAGUCGAACGGAAAGGCCCUGCUUUUGUGGGGUGCUCGAGUGGCGAACGGGUGAGUAACACGUGAGUAACCUGCCCUUGACUUUGGGAUAACUUCAGGAAACUGGGGCUAAUACCGGAUAGGAGCUCCUGCUGCAUGGUGGGGGUUGGAAAGUUUCGGCGGUUGGGGAUGGACUCGCGGCUUAUCAGCUUGUUGGUGGGGUAGUGGCUUACCAAGGCUUUGACGGGUAGCCGGCCUGAGAGGGUGACCGGCCACAUUGGGACUGAGAUACGGCGCAGACUCCUACGGGAGGCAGCAGUGGGGAAUAUUGCACAAUGGGCGGAAGCCUGAUGCAGCAACGCCGCGUGCGGGAUGACGGCCUUCGGGUUGUAAACCGCUUUCGCCUGUGACGAAGCGUGAGUGACGGUAAUGGGUAGAGAAGCACCGGCUAACUACGUG